This 1756-nucleotide ribosomal RNA is filed under the name human gut metagenome. RNAcentral's name for it is "bacterial LSU rRNA". It matches the Rfam family "Bacterial large subunit ribosomal RNA", at positions 662 to 2447 of the family's 2925-position model. The record is from RNAcentral.
GGAGCCGAAGCGAAAGCGAGUCUUAAUAGGGCGGUAAGUUGAAUGCUGUAGACCCGAAACCCGGCGAGCUAGCCAUGAGCAGGUUGAAGUUUGAGUAAAAUCAAAUGGAGGACCGAACUAGGGCCUGUUGAAAAAGGCUUGGAUGACUUGUGGCUAGGGGUGAAAUUCCAAUCGAGCUGGGAUAUAGCUGGUUCUCCCCGAAAUAACUUUAGGGCUAGCGUUAAACAAGAGUUUUAUGAAGGUAGAGCACUGAAUAGUAGAUGGUCCCACCUCGGGAUACUGACAUUAAUCAAACUCCGAAUGUCAUAAAACGCGUUUAGCAGUCAGACUGCGAGUGAUAAGGUCCGUGGUCAAAAGGAAAAGAGUCCAGACCGCCAAAUAAGGUCCCAAAAUAUAUGCUAAGUGGAGAAGGAUGUAGAGAUGCCUAAACAACUAGGAUGUUGGCUUAGAAGCAGCCAUCAUUUAAAGAGUGCGUAAUAGCUCACUAGUCGAGUGACUCCGCGCCGAAAAUGUACCGGGGCUAAGCAUAUUACCGAAUUUGCGGAUUCGAUACGAAAGUAUUGAGUGGUAGGGGAGCGUUCCAUAUUGGGAAGAAGCAAGAUCGAGAGGACUUGUGGACUAUAUGGAAGUGAGAAUGCCGGUGUGAGUAACGAAAAGACAGGUGAGAAUCCUGUCCGUCAAAAACCCAAGGUUUCCAGGGGAAGGGUCGUCCGCCCUGGGUAAGUCUGGGCCUAAGGUGAGGCCGAGAGGCGUAGCUGAUGGAUAUCUGGUGUAUAUUCCAGAACUAGUAUAAUGACUGAUGGAGUGACGAAGAAGGCUAGGAUCCGAUUCUUAGUGGAUUGAAUACGAGAUAUCAAGAGGGGAUGUAGGCAAAUCCGCAUCUAGAAAUCAAGAUAUGACAGGUAAAGGAUAACGAAGUCAAGCUUCCAAGAAAAGCUUCUAGGGUUAAUCAUUAUACUACCAGUACCGUAAACCGACACAGGUGGGUAGGAAGAGAAUUCUAAGACGCGCGAGAAAACCCUUGUUAAGGAACUCUGCAAGUUGGCCCCGUAAGUUCGCAAUAAGGGGAGCUCAUGUAAAAGUGAGCCACAGAAAAGAAGCCCAAGCAACUGUUUAACAAAAACACAGGUUUAUGCAAAACCGUAAGGUGAAGUAUAUGAGCUGACACCUGCCCGGUGCUGGAAGGUUAAAAGGAGAGGUUAGAGCAAUCGAAGCCUUGAAUUGAAGCCCCAGUAAACGGCGGCCGUAACUAUAACGGUCCUAAGGUAGCGAAAUUCCUUGUCAGGUAAGUUCUGACCCGCACGAAAGGUGUAAUGUCUUUGGGCACUGUCUCAACAGGGGACUCGGUGAAAUCAAACUGCCGGUGAAAAUGCCGGCUACCCGCAAUUAGACGGAAAGACCCCAUGGAGCUUUACUGUAGGUUGAUAUUGAUAUUUGGUAUGUAAUGUACAGGAUAGGUGGGAGACUAUGAAGCUAGGACGUUAGUCUUGGUGGAGUCGACGUUGGGAUACCACCCUUUGCCUAUCGAGUAUCUAACUAGUGUAAGUGGAUUACAAAGGACAGUGUCAGUUGGGCAGUUUGACUGGGGCGGUCGCCUCCUAAAGAGUAACGGAGGCGCUCAAAGGUUCCCUCAGAAUGGUUGGAAAUCAUUCGCAGAGUGUAAACGCAGAAGGGAGCUUGACUGCAAGACAAACAAGUCGAGCAGGGACGAAAGUCGGAGUUAGUGAUCUUACGGUACCGCGUGGAAGGGCCGUGA